RNAcentral lists this ribosomal RNA (660 nucleotides) under uncultured bacterium. Its description in RNAcentral is "bacterial SSU rRNA". It matches the Rfam family "Bacterial small subunit ribosomal RNA", at positions 94 to 788 of the family's 1533-position model. The record is from RNAcentral.
AGUGGCGGACGGGUGAGUAACGCGUGAGAAUCUGCCUUGGGGUCGGGGACAACCACUGGAAACGGUGGCUAAUACCGGAUAAGCCGAUUGGUGAAAGAUUUAUUGCCCGAAGAGGAGCUCGCGUCUGAUUAGCUAGUUGGUGAGGUAAGAGCUCACCAAGGCAGCGAUCAGUAGCUGGUCUGAGAGGACGAUCAGCCACACUGGGACUGAGACACGGCCCAGACUCCUACGGGAGGCAGCAGUGGGGAAUUUUCCGCAAUGGGCGAAAGCCUGACGGAGCAAGACCGCGUGAGGGAGGAAGGCUCUUGGGUUGUAAACCUCUUUUCUCAGGGAAGAAGCUCUGACGGUACCUGAGGAAUCAGCCUCGGCUAACUCCGUGCCAGCAGCCGCGGUAAUACGGAGGAGGCAAGCGUUAUCCGGAAUUAUUGGGCGUAAAGCGUCCCCAGGUGGCGAUUCAAGUCUGCUGUCAAAGCACGGGGCUUAACUCCGUAAAGACAGUGGAAACUGAAUAGCUAGAGUGCCGUAGGGGUAGAGGGAAUUCCCGGUGUAGCGGUGAAAUGCGUAGAGAUCGGGAAGAACAUCGGUGGCGAAAGCGCUCUACUGGACGGCAACUGACACUCAGGGACGAAAGCUAGGGGAGCGAAUGGGAUUAGAUACCCC